UACGAAGGACCCGAGCGUUAUCCGGAUUUAUUGGGUUUAAAGGGUGCGUAGGCGGAUUUACAAGUCAGUGGUGAAAUCUCCCAGCUUAACUGGGAAACUGCCAUUGAAACUGUUUAUCUUGAGUACAUUUGAGGCGGGCGGAAUGUGUCAUGUAGAGGUGAAAUUCUUAGAUAUGACACAGAACACCAAUUGCGAAGGCAGCUUACUAUGGUCUUAUUGACGCUGAGGCACGAAAGCGUGGGGAUCAAACAGG
RNAcentral lists this ribosomal RNA (253 nucleotides) under uncultured prokaryote. RNAcentral describes it as "partial 16S ribosomal RNA". It matches the Rfam family "Bacterial small subunit ribosomal RNA", at positions 524 to 776 of the family's 1533-position model. The record is from RNAcentral.